GGGCCUACGGGUGGCUGCAGUGGGGAAUAUUGCACAAUGGGCGCAAGCCUGAUGCAGCCAUGCCGCGUGUAUGAAGAAGGCCUUCGGGUUGUAAAGUACUUUCAGCGGGGAGGAAGGUGUUGUGGUUAAUAACCACAGCAAUUGACGUUACCCGCAGAAGAAGCACCGGCUAACUCCGUGCCAGCAGCCGCGGUAAUACGGAGGGUGCAAGCGUUAAUCGGAAUUACUGGGCGUAAAGCGCACGCAGGCGGUCUGUCAAGUCGGAUGUGAAAUCCCCGGGCUCAACCUGGGAACUGCAUUCGAAGCUGGCAGGCUAGAGUCUUGUAGAGGGGGGUAGAAUUCCAGGUGUAGCGGUGAAAUGCGUAGAGAUCUGGAGGAAUACCGGUGGCGAAGGCGGCCCCCUGGACAAAGACUGACGCUCAGGUGCGAAAGCGUGGGGAGCAAACAGGAUUAGAUACCCCAGUAGUCC
This 469-nucleotide ribosomal RNA is filed under the name uncultured Enterobacteriaceae bacterium. RNAcentral describes it as "bacterial SSU rRNA". It matches the Rfam family "Bacterial small subunit ribosomal RNA", at positions 335 to 796 of the family's 1533-position model. The record is from RNAcentral. Lineage: Bacteria; Pseudomonadati; Pseudomonadota; Gammaproteobacteria; Enterobacterales; Enterobacteriaceae.